UUAUAAAAUCUAAUAGCCUCUUGACAAAUUCUGUUUAAGUUUGGCUUAUUGCUUUCAUGUUUAUAAGUAUUAUUUGAACAGGAGCUCUAAAAGAAUUUAAAAAAGCAAAAUCCAUUACCUCCUCAAACGUUCCGUGUGUUGUGGGCUAUAAAAAUUACAUUCCAAGUUAUGUUCGAUGCUUGCACAAAGGAAUCCUAUCCUUUUACCUUAAAGAUAACGUCAUAAUGGUGGUCAGUGAAAAGUCAGCUUACACCAAAGUCUUAAAACCAAAAAUAUUUCCGUAGUGCAUGUCAGUAGAAACAUUUUAAGUCCCCUGAAGAAUUGAAAUAUUUGCUUUCACUUCCAGCAAAACUUUUUUUUAUUACGAUGAUACCUCUUUAA
Long non-coding RNA from Zophobas morio, 381 nucleotides. RefSeq lists it as uncharacterized. Lineage: Eukaryota; Metazoa; Arthropoda; Insecta; Coleoptera; Tenebrionidae. The record is from RefSeq and is a predicted model, not a curated record. The transcript is spliced from 4 exons.